GUUAAAACACCGCUUCCCGUGCGAUCAGAGAUGUUAAGCAACAUCGUGUCUGGUCAGUACCUAGAUGGGUAACCGCUUGAAAAUAUCAGAUGCUA
This is a non-coding RNA of Acanthosepion pharaonis, 95 nucleotides long. Lineage: Eukaryota; Metazoa; Mollusca; Cephalopoda; Sepiida; Sepiidae. The record is from the annotation of a GenBank genome assembly.